RNAcentral lists this unclassified non-coding RNA (318 nucleotides) under plant metagenome. Its description in RNAcentral is "partial contains 5.8S ribosomal RNA, internal transcribed spacer 2, and large subunit ribosomal RNA". The stretch from base 1 to 106 matches the Rfam family "5.8S ribosomal RNA", at positions 49 to 154 of the family's 154-position model. The record is from RNAcentral.
CAAGCUGCGAUACGUAAUGUGAAUUGCAGAGCUCAGUGAAUCAUCGAAUCUUUGAACGCACAUUGCGCCUUCCGGCAUCCCGGGAGGCACGCCUGUCCGAGCGUCAUCGCCCCCUCCAGGCCCUGUCGGGGCCUGUGCUUGAGCCUGUUGCCCGGGCAUGGGCAGGCUUACAACCAGCGCAACCGAACGUCCUCGGAACCCCGAGCGCAGUGGCUGCAAAUGCUCGGCGUGGUUUCGGGCGGCGACGGCGGAAGUCAACCCUCGUGCAGGCCUUCUGGUUGACCUCGGAUCAGGUGGGGAUACCCGCUGAACUUAAGC